Molecule: small RNA, 27 nt
Filed under: Arabidopsis thaliana (thale cress)
Lineage: Eukaryota; Viridiplantae; Streptophyta; Magnoliopsida; Brassicales; Brassicaceae
Description: ATSL237030
Source: RNAcentral
UAUCAGAUCAUCCUUUUCCUUCCUACA